CGUGUGAGUAACACGUGAGUAACCUGCCCUUGACUCUGGGAUAAGCCCGGGAAACUGGGUCUAAUACCGGAUAGGAGCGCCUGUCGCAUGACGGGUGUUGGAAAGAUUUUUCGGUCAUGGAUGGACUCGCGGCCUAUCAGCUUGUUGGUGAGGUAAUGGCUCACCAAGGCGACGACGGGUAGCCGGCCUGAGAGGGUGACCGGCCACACUGGGACUGAGACACGGCCCAGACUCCUACGGGAGGCAGCAGUGGGGAAUAUUGCACAAUGGGCGGAAGCCUGAUGCAGCGACGCCGCGUGAGGGAUGACGGCCUUCGGGUUGUAAACCUCUUUUCAGUAGGGAAGA
This 345-nucleotide ribosomal RNA is filed under the name Micrococcus sp. oral taxon F54. Its description in RNAcentral is "bacterial SSU rRNA". It matches the Rfam family "Bacterial small subunit ribosomal RNA", at positions 100 to 448 of the family's 1533-position model. Lineage: Bacteria; Bacillati; Actinomycetota; Actinomycetes; Micrococcales; Micrococcaceae. The record is from RNAcentral.